Molecule: long non-coding RNA, 936 nt
Filed under: Struthio camelus australis
Lineage: Eukaryota; Metazoa; Chordata; Aves; Struthioniformes; Struthionidae
Description: lncRNA (ENSSCUG00000006857.1)
Source: RNAcentral
CUAGCUUUCAGUUUCAGUGAGGAAUUGAAAGUUUACAAUGAAGCCAUCGAGUAUCACUUAAUUUUUUUAAAACAUUUUUCUGGGCUUAUUGUGCUAAAUGUGUUUCCUAGGCUGAGAAAAGAGAAGAAAUACUAGCUUUACUGAGGAGGCAGAGAGAAGAAAGGAUUGCAAAAGAAUUGAUUUCUCAUCCAUAUAAACCAAAGACCAAAACAAACCAAACGAGGGCAGACAGUUUGCCGAGGCGGAACGCAGCGACCGUGCUACAAAAUAGUUUAUUUUCAUGAUGUUUCGCGCAGGAUCAGCUAUGAAGAAGCACACCUUGCCUGUAGAGGUGAUGGCGGUCACCUAGUCAGUAUUGAAACAGAAGCAGAGCAAAGACUGAUUGAAAAAUUCAUUGAGAGUCUCUUGGCUUCGGAUGGAGAUUUUUGGAUAGGGCUUAGGAGGAAAAAGGAGGAGGAGAUGGACAAUAGCACAGAGUGUCAGAACCUCUACAGCUGGUCAGAUGGCAGCUUGUCCAAGUUCAGGAACUGGUAUGUAGAUGAGCCAUCCUGUGGGAGUGAAAUCUGUGUUGUGAUGUACCACCAGCCAUCUGCCCCACCGGGUGUUGGAGGUCCUUACAUGUUUCAAUGGAACGAUGACAGAUGCAACAUGAAAAAUAACUUCAUUUGCAAAUAUUCUCUUGAAAAGCAAACGAAUGCUCCAAGAGAGACUUCUCAAACAGACGUUGCAACAGAACCUCUGAAGCCGACGUUCCCAGAAGAACACCGUAAGAACAAUGCUAAUGAAACGAUUAAAGAAGCCAGAGGUAUGCUGUGUUCAACAGCUGGCCCGUUCUCUCUAGCUCUGCCGGCCCAUGUCUCACCUGUGGCUGCAAACACUCAACAUCUAGGUGUGGGGUGUUUGACCCUGAACAUAGAUGGAGCUGAGCUGAGUUGA